CGGGGUGCAGCAGGCGCGAAAACUUUACAAUGCGGGAAACCGUGAUAAGGGGACACCGAGUACCAGCAUUAUAUGCUGGCUGUCCAGGUGUGUAAACUACACCUGUUAGCAAGGGCCGGGCAAGACCGGUGCCAGCCGCCGCGGUAACACCGGCGGCCCGAGUGGUGAUCGUGAUUAUUGGGUCUAAAGGGUCCGUAGCCGGUUUGGUCAGUCCUCCGGGAAAUCUGACGGCUCAACCGUUAGGCUUUCGGGGGAUACUGCCAGGCUUGGAACCGGGAGAGGUAAGAGGUACUACAGGGGUAGGAGUGAAAUCUUGUAAUCCCUGUGGGACCACCUGUGGCGAAGGCGUCUUACCAGAACGGGUUCGACGGUGAGGGACGAAAGCUGGGGGCACGAACCGGAUUAGAUACCCGGGUAGUCCCAGCCGUAAACGAUGCUCGCUAGGUGUCAGGCAUGGCGCGACCGUGUCUGGUGCCGCAGGGAAGCCGUGAAGCGAGCCACCUGGGAAGUACGGCCGCAAGGCUGAAACUUAAAGGAAUUGGCGGGGGAGCACAAGGGCGAUUGCGG
RNAcentral lists this ribosomal RNA (567 nucleotides) under uncultured archaeon. RNAcentral describes it as "bacterial SSU rRNA". It matches the Rfam family "Archaeal small subunit ribosomal RNA", at positions 326 to 893 of the family's 1478-position model. The record is from RNAcentral.